GAUGAACGCUAGCGGCAGGCUUAAUACAUGCAAGUCGAGGGGCAGCGGGAGUAGCAAUACUUGCCGGCGACCGGCGCACGGGUGCGUAACACGUAUGUAAUCUGCCCAUCACAGGAGGAUAGCCCGGAGAAAUUCGGAUUAAUACUCCAUAAUAGAAGAUAAAGCAUUUUAUUUCUUGAAAGUUCCGACGGUGAUGGAUGAACAUGCGACUGAUUAGUUUGUUGGUGAGGUAACGGCUCACCAAGACUACGAUCAGUAGGGGUACUGAGAGGUUAAACCCCACACUGGUACUGAGACACGGACCAGACUCCUACGGGAGGCAGCAGUAAGGAAUAUUGGACAAU
This 344-nucleotide ribosomal RNA is filed under the name uncultured bacterium. RNAcentral's name for it is "bacterial SSU rRNA". It matches the Rfam family "Bacterial small subunit ribosomal RNA", at positions 28 to 372 of the family's 1533-position model. The record is from RNAcentral.